UGCGCAGGCGGAAUGAUAAGUCAGUGGUGAAAUCCUAUGGCCUAACUGUAGAAUUGCCAUUGAUACUGUCAUUCUUGAGUACAUAUGAAGUGGGCGGAAUGUGUCAUGUAGCGGUGAAAUGCAUAGAUAUGACACAGAACACCGAUAGCGAAGGCAGCUCACUAAAUUGUAACUGACGCUCAUGCACGAAAGCGUGGGGAGCAAACAGGAUUAGAUACCCUGGUAGUCC
This 229-nucleotide ribosomal RNA is filed under the name uncultured bacterium. RNAcentral describes it as "partial 16S ribosomal RNA". It matches the Rfam family "Bacterial small subunit ribosomal RNA", at positions 568 to 796 of the family's 1533-position model. The record is from RNAcentral.